RNAcentral lists this long non-coding RNA (343 nucleotides) under Brassica rapa (field mustard). Its description in RNAcentral is "long non-coding RNA (BRAP_LNC003681)". Lineage: Eukaryota; Viridiplantae; Streptophyta; Magnoliopsida; Brassicales; Brassicaceae. The record is from RNAcentral.
UGGUUUUGUUAGAGUAGAGUAAGGUAAAAAUGGUUGAAAAAGAAAUGAAAAUGAAAUGACAGAAAAGAAGAAAAGAAAAUAAAAAUGGAGUAAAUUUGCUACUCUAGCAAAAUUUAGAGUAAAAACAAGUGUGUAUUUUUCUCUGUCAAAACAGUAAUUAAAAACGAUAAAACAAUGUUUCACUUGAUGUGUAGUAUUUUAGUGAAAUUUAGAAUAACUUAAAAAUUAAAGUAAAUGUUUAUUCUAAAUUAUCCAUACAGUCACAACCUCGCUGUUUCCUACGAAAAGUCAGAUCUACAUAUAUUCACACACAUUUGAAUAUAUGUAGUGAAUUAGGGACCCG